GACGAACCGAGCGAACGUUAUUCGGAAUCACUGGGCUUAAAGGGCGCGUAGGCGGGCCAUCAAGUCAGGGGUGAAAGCCCCCAGCUCAACUGGGGAAGUGCCUCUGAUACUGGUGGCCUCGAGGGAGGUAGGGGCGUGCGGAACUUCCGGUGGAGCGGUGAAAUGCGUAGAUAUCGGAAGGAACACCGGUGGCGAAAGCGGCGCGCUGGACCGCUUCUGACGCUGAGGCGCGAAAGCCAGGGGAGCGAACGGG
This 253-nucleotide ribosomal RNA is filed under the name uncultured bacterium. RNAcentral's name for it is "partial 16S ribosomal RNA". It matches the Rfam family "Bacterial small subunit ribosomal RNA", at positions 524 to 776 of the family's 1533-position model. The record is from RNAcentral.